This 41-nucleotide transfer RNA is filed under the name Rana luteiventris (Great Basin spotted frog). RNAcentral describes it as "partial tRNA-Leu". RNAcentral also lists the same sequence under 1 other name. Lineage: Eukaryota; Metazoa; Chordata; Amphibia; Anura; Ranidae. The record is from RNAcentral.
UCUAAGUCCUUUGAACCGGGGUUCAAAUCCCCUUACUAACU